CGGAAGUCAUUCCACUUCUGGUCGCCAAGUGUGCCCGCAGCCUUCGCAGCCUGAUACUUGGCGCUGCAUUCCUGGGCAGUCAGGGCCUGCGCCGGCAUCGCGGCGGGCGAAGUUGCCUGCACCAGCCAGCAGCGCCGCAUAAAACAGAUUGGCUCGGAUUGUCAUCGAACUCUCCUGAGUGAGGGAUCUCGAAAGCGACACAUCCUAGCUCACGCUGAUUUGCAUUCAACGCGCUGCCACCCGCGGCGAUCAAAAAAAUAAUGAACGG
Molecule: unclassified non-coding RNA, 268 nt
Filed under: Hevea brasiliensis (rubber tree)
Lineage: Eukaryota; Viridiplantae; Streptophyta; Magnoliopsida; Malpighiales; Euphorbiaceae
Source: RNAcentral